This 403-nucleotide ribosomal RNA is filed under the name uncultured bacterium. Its description in RNAcentral is "bacterial SSU rRNA". It matches the Rfam family "Bacterial small subunit ribosomal RNA", at positions 355 to 774 of the family's 1533-position model. The record is from RNAcentral.
UAGGGAAUAUUGCAAAAUGGGCGAAAGCCCGAUGCAGCAACGCCGCGUGGGCGAUGAAGGCCUUCGGGUCGUAAAGCCCUUUUUGAGGGGAUGAGGAAGGACAGUACCCUCAGAAUAAGCCUCGGCUAACCACGUGCCAGCAGCCGCGGUAAAACGUAGGAGGCGAGCGUUAUCCGGAUUUACUGGGCGUAAAGCGCGUGCAGGCGGAUUGGAGAGUUGGAUGUGAAAGCUCCCGGCUUAACUGGGAGAGGCCGUUCAAUACUUCCAGUCUUGAGUGCAGUAGAGGGAAGUGGAAUUCCGGGUGUAGUGGUGAAAUACGUAGAUAUCUGGAAGAACACCAGUUGCGAAGGCGGUCUCUUGGUCCGACACUGACGCUGAGGCGCGAAAGCGUGGGGAGCAAACA